GAUUAAGUUAUUAAGGGCGCACGGUGGAUGCCUUGGCACUAGAAGCCGAUGAAGGACGUUACUAACGACGAUAUGCUUUGGGGAGCUGUAAGUAAGCUUUGAUCCAGAGAUUUCCGAAUGGGGAAACCCAGCAUGAGUUAUGUCAUGUUAUCGAUAUGUGAAUACAUAGCAUAUCAGAAGGCACACCCGGAGAACUGAAACAUCUUAGUACCCGGAGGAAGAGAAAGAAAAUUCGAUUCCCUUAGUAGCGGCGAGCGAAACGGGAAGAGCCCAAACCAACAAGCUUGCUUGUUGGGGUUGUAGGACACUCUAUACGGAGUUACAAAGGACGACAUUAGACGAAUCAUCUGGAAAGAUGAAUCAAAGAAGGUAAUAAUCCUGUAGUCGAAAAUGUUGUCUCUCUUGAGUGGAUCCUGAGUACGACGGAGCACGUGAAAUUCCGUCGGAAUCUGGGAGGACCAUCUCCUAAGGCUAAAUACUCUCUAGUGACCGAUAGUGAACCAGUACCGUGAGGGAAAGGUGAAAAGCACCCCGGAAGGGGAGUGAAAUAGAACCUGAAACCGUGUGCUUACAAGUAGUCAGAGCCCGUUAAUGGGUGAUGGCGUGCCUUUUGUAGAAUGAACCGGCGAGUUACGAUUUGAUGCAAGGUUAAGCAGUAAAUGUGGAGCCGUAGCGAAAGCGAGUCUGAAUAGGGCGUUUAGUAUUUGGUCGUAGACCCGAAACCAGGUGAUCUACCCUUGGUCAGGUUGAAGUUCAGGUAACACUGAAUGGAGGACCGAACCGACUUACGUUGAAAAGUGAGCGGAUGAACUGAGGGUAGCGGAGAAAUUCCAAUCGAACCUGGAGAUAGCUGGUUCU
Molecule: ribosomal RNA, 858 nt
Filed under: Staphylococcus aureus
Lineage: Bacteria; Bacillati; Bacillota; Bacilli; Caryophanales; Staphylococcaceae
Description: partial 23S ribosomal RNA
Rfam family: Bacterial large subunit ribosomal RNA
Source: RNAcentral